UUUGCUUUGUAGUUCUUACCUAGGCUGGGCAUUCUACUGCACCACUAUUAAGGCCACCUAUGACGUCAUGAGGGUGGUGGCCAUCAACAUGCAGCCCACAGACUGGGCAGUCCCCAGGAUCUCUUUAAUGGUGCCAGAAAGUUCUCAGGGUCCUUGAGGGCUUUGAUAAUCAGGGCAGAAGCAAAAGGACCCACUUCAAUCUGGGCCUGUCUGUUAUGAGGAGUCCGUUUCACUGUACUCCUCAGACCCUUCCAAUCACUGGUUGCCUUGGUGAAGUCAAACCAACCUUUUUUGGAGGCAGACGCAGUUGGCCGAUCUUUGGGGCCAGGAAACAUGUGGCACCGGCACUGCCACCAGUGUCUCAGUCCCUAAGCGUGUGUGAGACCUUGAGAGAAGAGACUAUGGCUACCAUCUUCUGGAGCUGUGAGUAGCAGAGGCUAAGGAACAGAAAAUAUAAAUUAUUUUAAUCAAGCAAGUAAAGUCAAAUGAAAAUAAACCAGGCUCACUAGUAGACA
RNAcentral lists this long non-coding RNA (515 nucleotides) under Vulpes vulpes (red fox). RNAcentral's name for it is "lncRNA (ENSVVUG00000016848.1)". The record is from RNAcentral. Lineage: Eukaryota; Metazoa; Chordata; Mammalia; Carnivora; Canidae.